Molecule: unclassified non-coding RNA, 341 nt
Filed under: Calvatia sp.
Lineage: Eukaryota; Fungi; Basidiomycota; Agaricomycetes; Agaricales; Lycoperdaceae
Description: partial contains 5.8S ribosomal RNA, internal transcribed spacer 2, and large subunit ribosomal RNA
Rfam family: 5.8S ribosomal RNA (bases 1-71)
Source: RNAcentral
GUGAAUCAUCGAAUCUUUGAACGCACCUUGCGCUCCUUGGUAUUCCGAGGAGCAUGCCUGUUUGAGUGUCAUUAAAUUCUCAACCCCUCCAGCUUUGUAAGUUGUGAUGGGGCUUGGAAGUUGGGAGUUGCAGGACUCUAUAAUAGAGGUCGGCUCUCCUUAAAUGCAUUAGCGGAACCGUUUGCAGUCCCGUCACUAGUGUGAUAAUUAUCUACACUGUGAUGAUUGCUCUCUGGCUUGUUCAGCUACUAAUCGUCCAUUAUCGGACAAUGUAUUGACCAUCUUGACCUCAAAUCAGGUAGGACUACCCGCUGAACUUAAGCAUAUCAAUAAGCGGAGGA